GAUGAACGCUGGCGGCGUGCCUAAUACAUGCAAGUCGAGCGAACAGACGAGGAGCUUGCUCCUCUGACGUUAGCGGCGGACGGGUGAGUAACACGUGGAUAACCUACCUAUAAGACUGGGAUAACUUCGGGAAACCGGAGCUAAUACCGGAUAAUAUAUUGAACCGCAUGGUUCAAUAGUGAAAGACGGUUUUGCUGUCACUUAUAGAUGGAUCCGCGCCGCAUUAGCUAGUUGGUAAGGUAGCGGCUUACCAAGGCGACGAUGCGUAGCCGACCUGAGAGGGUGAUCGGCCACACUGGAACUGAGACACGGUCCAGACUCCUACGGGAGGCAGCAGUAGGGAAUCUUCCGCAAAGGGCGAAAGCCUGACGGAGCAACGCCGCGUGAGUGAUGAAGGUCUUCGGAUCGUAAAACUCUGUUAUUAGGGAAGAACAAAUGUGUAAGUAACCAUGCACGUCUUGACGGUACCUAAUCAGAAAGCCACGGCUAACUACGUG
RNAcentral lists this ribosomal RNA (497 nucleotides) under uncultured bacterium. RNAcentral describes it as "partial 16S ribosomal RNA". It matches the Rfam family "Bacterial small subunit ribosomal RNA", at positions 28 to 507 of the family's 1533-position model. The record is from RNAcentral.